GGAUGUGAGGGCAAUCUAGCUGCAACAUUUGUCAUCCCAUUGACUGCCAGGAUUGAUUCAGCUGAUCUGGCUGGCUACGCGAGUGUCCCCUUCCUCCCUCACCACUCCAUGUGAUGUGCAUCCCUCGUGAAGCUACGCACUGGGUCAAAGAGGAUGACCAUCCCCGAGAGUAGGACCCAUCUUCAUUAAAGGGUAUACCAGUAUUGGCGCUCCUCUGAUAGAAUCUCCAAACAAAGAGCCAACUUCUCCUGCUAAAUGCCAUGCUGGUUGCAUUCCAGU
RNAcentral lists this small nuclear RNA (279 nucleotides) under Cercocebus atys (sooty mangabey). RNAcentral describes it as "7SK RNA (ENSCATG00000004678.1)". It matches the Rfam family "7SK RNA". Rfam says of the family: 7SK was discovered as an abundant small nuclear RNA in the mid-70s but a possible function has only recently been suggested. Two independent studies have found that 7SK RNA binds the CDK9/cyclin T complex (known as elongation factor P-TEFb). The record is from Rfam by way of RNAcentral. Lineage: Eukaryota; Metazoa; Chordata; Mammalia; Primates; Cercopithecidae.